CCGCGCGCGGCGGCCCACGUGGGCGCCCCCCGGCGCACAUGGCGCUGCCCCUGCGGAGGCUGCUGCAGGCCCGGAGGCCCGCGGGCCGGCCGGGGACGCGGCGCGAGGCCAGCCAGGGCGCCGACCCCGGUGCUGCGGUGCGAGUGCGGUUCGCCCCCAGCCCCACAGGCUUCCUGCACCUGGGUGGCCUCCGUACUGCCUUGUACAACUACAUCUUCGCCAAGAAGCAUGGAGGGAGCUUCAUCCUGCGGCUGGAGGACACAGACCAGACCCGCCUUGUGCCUGGGGCCGCGGAGAACAUUGAGGCUAUGCUGGAGUGGGCAGGUGUCCCCCCAGACGAGAGCCCGCGCCGGGGUGGUCCCGCUGGGCCCUACCAGCAGUCUCAGCGGCUCGAGCUGUAUGCCCGGGCCACGGAAGCGCUGCUCAAGACUGGCGCGGCCUACCCUUGCUUCUGCUCGCCCCAGCGACUGGAGCUCCUGAAGAAGGAGGCGCUGAGGAACCGCCAGACGCCCCGAUAUGACAACCGCUGCCGCCACCUGACCCAGGCGCAGGUGGCCCAGAAGCUGGCCCAGGAGCCCCGGCCCGCCAUCCGCUUCCGCCUGGAGGGGGAGGCGCCCGCCUUCCAGGACCUGGUCUAUGGCUGGAACCGGCACGAGGUGGCGAGCGUGGAGGGGGACCCAGUCAUCCUGAAGAGCGACGGCUUCCCCACCUACCACCUGGCCUGCGUGGUGGACGACCACCACAUGGGCAUCAGCCACGUGCUGCGGGGCUCCGAGUGGCUGGUGUCCACCGCCAAGCACCUGCUCCUCUACCAGGCCCUGGGCUGGCCGCCACCGCGUUUCGCCCACCUGCCCCUGCUCCUCAACCGGGACGGCAGCAAACUGUCCAAGCGGCAGGGCGACAUCUUCCUGGAGCACUUCGCUGCCGCCGGCUUCCUGCCUGAUGCCCUGCUCGACAUCAUCACCAACUGCGGCUCGGGGUUUCCAGAGAACCAGAUGGGCAGGACCUUGCCGGAGCUGAUCGCGCAGUUUGACCUCUCCCGGAUCACCUGCCACUCAGCGCUGCUGGACCUGGAGAAGCUUCCAGAAUUCAACAGGCUGCACCUCCGCCGGCUGCUGGGCAGUGAGCCGCAGCGGCACCAGCUGGUCGGGAAGCUGCGGGCACUGGUGGAGGAGGCGUUCGGGAGCCAGCUGGAGGACAGGGCAGUCCUGGAGCCUGCCUACCUGGAGAGGAUCGUCCUGCUGAGACAGGGUCACAUUGGCCGCCUGCAGGACCUGGUCUCCCCAGCACACGCCUACCUGUGGACACGCCCCACCGUUGCCCAGGCGCAGCUGGGGGCCAUCACGGAGGAGGCAGAGGUGAUCGCCAGGCGCGUGCUGGGUGCAGCCCCUAAGGAAACUGCUUCUCUCCCAGGCUGCUGGACGGCCCCGGGCUGAGCCUCACCCAGGACGCGCUGAACGGGGAGCUGAGGAAGCUGUCGGCGGGGCUGCCGGGCACCAAGCACAGCCACGUGAUGAAGCUCCUCCGGGUGGCCCUCAGCGGGCAGCUGCAAGGCCCGCCGGUCGCCGAGAUGAUGGUGUCCUUGGGCCCUCAGGAAGUGCGGCAACGGAUCCAGAAACUGCUGUCCAGCUAGAGGGACAAGGAGCGGCCAGAGCAGGUGGCCAGGAGACUGCACGCGCAGCGGCUGCAUCCAGGGGGAGGAGCAGGAGGCCCGGCGCCCCAGGACAGCGGGGGCAGGAGGCAGGAAUUGACCCAGACACUCAGGUGGCUCUGGGCACCUCUACGCCCCUCUUCUGAACCCCAGAGGCUGCCUGGUGGCCAGCACCACGUCACACAGAGCAGAUUCACGGAACAUUCCUGGAGGCUCACGUCUCAGCGGGCUCGAGCUGGCGUUAGGAAACACUGCCAAAUGGGCUAGAGAGAGCCUAGCAGGCAGGGCCACAGGAAGCCAGCUGGGUCCUCGGCACCACAGGGCCCCCUGGGCACUGCCAGAGGUGGGCAGAGACAAUUAUGUGUGUGUGACUAUACAUAUAUACACACAUAUGUUUAAUUAAAGCCACUAGUCUGGUGUGUGUAUAUAUUUAUGUG
Sorex fumeus (smoky shrew) is the source of this 2088-nucleotide RNA transcript. It is a transcript of the gene named glutamyl-tRNA synthetase 2, mitochondrial, with no coding region annotated. The transcript has 9 exons. Lineage: Eukaryota; Metazoa; Chordata; Mammalia; Eulipotyphla; Soricidae. The record is from RefSeq and is a predicted model, not a curated record.